This 163-nucleotide non-coding RNA is filed under the name bovine gut metagenome. The record is from RNAcentral.
UAUCGUGAGGUAACGGCGAGAAGAAGAGAUUGCGAAAUCGCAGCUUGACGAACAGAAACUUGAUAUCAAGGCGAGGUAGGCGGAUAAGUUGACCUAAAGCAACGAAAUCCAAAAGGCAACCGUAACCCUAUUGCGUAAAUCAAGCAGGUAGGCGAGGAAAGAG